GACGAACGCUGGCGGCGUGCUUAACACAUGCAAGUCGAACGGAAAGGCCCUGCUUUUGUUGGGUGCUCGUGUGGCGAGCGGGUGAGUAACACGUGAGUAACCUGCCCUUGACUUUGGGAUAACUUCUGGAAACUCGGGCUAAUAUCGGAUAGAAGCUCCUGCUGCAUGGUGUGGGUUGGAGAGAUUCGGCGGUUGGGGAUGGACUCGCGGCUUAUCAGCUUGAUGGUGUGGUAGUGGCUUACCAAGGCUUUGACGGGUAGCCGGCCUGAGCGGGUGAGCGGCCACAUUGGGACUGAGAUACGGCCCAGACUCCUACGGGAGGCAGCAGUGGGGAAUAUUGCACAAUGGGCGGAAGCCUGAUGCAGCAACGCCGCGUGCGGGAUGACGGCCUUCGGGUUGUAAACCGCUUUCGCCGGUGACGAAGCGUGAGUGACGGUAAUGGGUAAAGAAGCACCGGCUAACUACGUG
This 468-nucleotide ribosomal RNA is filed under the name uncultured bacterium. RNAcentral describes it as "partial 16S ribosomal RNA". It matches the Rfam family "Bacterial small subunit ribosomal RNA", at positions 28 to 507 of the family's 1533-position model. The record is from RNAcentral.